UGUCAUCUUGUUGCUUAAUCAAUUUUUGCCCUUUCACUUUCCUAUUGCAAGGUGUCUUUCAAUGGUGAUCUGAAUGUAUGCAUGUGUUCCUCUAUGUCAUCCUUCUAUUUUCCCUCUACUGAUAUCACUAUUUUCACAUCAAAGUUCACACUAUUUACCAGAGACCCUUUUAAGCUCAAAGGCCUUUCCUGAUUUUUCGAUAAAGAUAUAAUACAGCUAAACUUGCAAAGGCAAUGUCUCAGAGGGUGCAGUGAAGGGCACGAACAAAGCAAAUAACACAUGUGAUGUGUGGACAGAGUACUAUGACAUGGCGUACACUUUUGGUGCUGAUAGCAUGGACUUUGCUGCAUUGUUAUAAGAAAUUGACAGGUGCUUUCUGAAUGAUGCUGAUUAAUAGUCAAAAUGCAGCAUUAUGUAAAUAUUGUAGAUAUCCAACCUAAAUAACACAACCAUGACAACGAACAAAACAACUGCCAACCAUAUUUUAUAUAUAUAUACUAUAUCUAUCCA
Molecule: long non-coding RNA, 510 nt
Organism: Solanum lycopersicum (tomato)
Lineage: Eukaryota; Viridiplantae; Streptophyta; Magnoliopsida; Solanales; Solanaceae
Source: RefSeq, a predicted model, not a curated record